This 42-nucleotide ribosomal RNA is filed under the name Akanthomyces muscarius. Its description in RNAcentral is "partial 28S ribosomal RNA". The record is from RNAcentral. Lineage: Eukaryota; Fungi; Ascomycota; Sordariomycetes; Hypocreales; Cordycipitaceae.
UGACCUCGGAUCANGUAGGAAUACCCGCUGAACUUAAGCAUA